AGUUUUUCGGCAUGGUGGUGGCCCUUCUCGGGGUGGCGUCGCAAGUCCGGGGUCACGGCUAUAUGAUGGAACCCAUCGCACGAACCUCGAUCCAACUAAGGCCCGAGUUUGGGACUGAAAUGCCCUACUGGUGGGACAACCAGGGGGUGUGGUGCGGCAAUGUGAACCAGGACAUGCAGGUUUCCACUUGGGGAGGUGUGGGGAUGUUCUCGGAGAAACGACGGCUAACCAGGGUGGGAUUUAUGAUAAGGGAGUUAUUGUCGCCAACUAUUCGUCAGGCUCGAUAAUUGAAGUCACGACGCACUUCGGGGCUCCUCAUUUUGGCUCAUUUGAGAUCGAAAUUUGCCCUUACGAGCAAGAAACGGACAUCUGCUUUUACAAAAUUCCAAUUGUGGGAGGAACCGAAACUGUCCGGAUUGAUAACAGGAUUUGUGUCCCGCAUGACCAGGGUGGAACUGAGGUUACGGCCCAGGUCCAACUCCCAGCUGGGGUGACCUGUCGCAGGUGCACGCUCCGGUGGACGUACCGAACUUCGUAUCCCGGACCCGCGGACUGGGACAAUUGUUUGAAUCGGGAUCCCGUCCAAGUAUUCAGAAACUGUGCUGAUAUCGCUAUUUACUGAGAAACUUCUAAAAUGGAUGCAAUAAUAUAAUUACG
This is an RNA transcript of Folsomia candida, 657 nucleotides long. RefSeq lists it as uncharacterized. The record is from RefSeq and is a predicted model, not a curated record. The transcript is spliced from 3 exons. Lineage: Eukaryota; Metazoa; Arthropoda; Collembola; Entomobryomorpha; Isotomidae.